Molecule: transfer RNA, 74 nt
Filed under: Dokdonella immobilis
Lineage: Bacteria; Pseudomonadati; Pseudomonadota; Gammaproteobacteria; Lysobacterales; Rhodanobacteraceae
Description: Dokdonella sp. LM 2-5 tRNA
Rfam family: tRNA
About the family: Transfer RNA (tRNA) molecules are approximately 80 nucleotides in length. Their secondary structure includes four short double-helical elements and three loops (D, anti-codon, and T loops). Further hydrogen bonds mediate the characteristic L-shaped molecular structure. tRNAs have two regions of fundamental functional importance: the anti-codon, which is responsible for specific mRNA codon recognition, and the 3' end, to which the tRNAs corresponding amino acid is attached (by aminoacyl-tRNA synthetases). tRNAs cope with the degeneracy of the genetic code in two manners: having more than one tRNA (with a specific anti-codon) for a particular amino acid; and 'wobble' base-pairing, i.e. permitting non-standard base-pairing at the 3rd anti-codon position.
Source: Rfam by way of RNAcentral
CGGGGCGUAGCGCAGCCUGGUAGCGCACCUGCCUGGGGGGCAGGGGGUCGUGGGUUCGAAUCCCGCCGCCCCGA